RNAcentral lists this non-coding RNA (113 nucleotides) under unclassified sequences. RNAcentral describes it as "drum RNA". It matches the Rfam family "drum RNA". Rfam says of the family: Firmicutes, Bacteroidetes (1 example), Proteobacteria (2 examples), Spirochaetes (2 examples). The record is from Rfam by way of RNAcentral.
AAGCGAUGAUAUCAAGGGGCGUGCCAAGAGCGUUGCUUGGUUGAGCUGGCGGGAGGGGUUGCACAGUGAAACCUCAACUUGGCGUAGGCAUUUGCCGAAAGAAAAUGUGAAUG